GGAGUCAACAACCAGCGGGGUCAGGAGCAGGAGCGCGCUGGGAAGGUAGAGAGGACCCCCAGCGCUUGCCGGCCCAGGGUGCACCAGGCCCCAGUCGCGCCCGCUCCUCCUCGUCGGCCCUGGCUCAGCCCCGUCAGGCACCAACUUCCCUCCCCGGCCAAGUGGGAGUGUCCGGCCCACAAAGUUUCCGCUGCGAGGUCGGGCCUCGGUCUCUGCACCGACCGCCUGUGCUGCCCGGGAGGAGUGGCCCCCUCCCUCCAGCAGCCGCAAGGUGGAACGGCUGCCCGGCACCCCAUUUUGCUCCGCCUGUGGCACCAACCCAGACACGUGAGCGCCCGAGCCUCUCGCACCCCCAGGCUGAUCCGGCAGGCGCGCUCCCCCCGGCCUCGGGCCCGCGGUUACCUUGGCGGCCGCCAUGAUUCGCCCCGGUUGCGGGCGACUGCGGGACCCACUGACUGGCUGGCUGGCGUUUGGGACCCGGGCGGCUCACUUCUAGUCCCGGCGGCGGCGGCGGUGGGGGCGGCGAUACGGCCAGGCAGCGUGCGUUCCUGGCCUGCCUCCCCACGCCCUCCCGCCGGCGCGGGUCAUGUGGAUGCUGCCCGCCCAUUGGCUGGGCCCAGCCUUGGCCGCCGGGGUGCGCGUGAUCCAGCGGCCUCUGCCCUGCAGCCGGGGAGGGCUCAGAUCCUGGGGCAGUGGCUGGACAGGGACACGUGACCCCGCUGCGCUGUCCAGCAGCGGCGGCCUCUGCGGCGUGGGCAGAGGUAACUUGGCCGUGUGCAAGCCCGUCACCUGAGGGCAGGUGGCCCCACCAGGGAAGCUGCUGGCUUCUGCUGAUACCAGGGGCUACUGGGCCCUCGGACCGAUGGGAGGGGCAAGUAACGACAGAUGGUGCACGGCCUGGGGAAGUUGAGAACUCCACUAGGACACAUACUUUGCUGGAUAUUUUUUCCCCUGUGCGUUCCCUUUGAAGGAGCUCCACUUUACACUGGAUCCAAAAAGACUUUGAUCCAAAAGCAUUGACUUAGAAGGCGAGAUUGCAAAUAUUGCUGGCACGCCUACUUUUAGAUCAAAAUCGGUGAACUCUUAAGAACCCAACAAGUGAAUGUAGUGCAGAACGUAUAUUCAUGAAACUACUCCAUUUCAGCCCUACCUGUUAAAACGGUAGAAGUCAAAAGGCCCGGGUCAAAAGACUUCCCCCAAAUAGGCCCUACUAAAAUAAAUAAACAAGCAUUUUAAUGAAAAUUUGCUUAUAUGACCUCCAGGCCUUACUCCUCUUCAUCAGGAUUUCAUUCUUCUGUCCUUGUAAUCAAAAUUUAUAAGACAGUGGUGAUCAGGGAAAAGGACUUUUAAUGUAUUGUAGGUUGUGGAUGUAAUAUGGCAGCAAAAAGCACUUAUUACUAAUCAGUUUAAUUCAUUAACGUUGAUUGAGUGCCUUCCUACUAUGUGCUAGGCACUGUGCUUGGUGCUGGAAACCCCGAAAUGACUUAAGAACUGGUUCCAACCGUUAAACAGCUUCAGGGCUAUUGGGAAAGAGACACAUAAAUGUUUACUUCAGUAUAACCUGUUAAGGCAGCAGACUGUUCCCAGGGCUCAAUAAGAAUACUGAGAAUUCUCAUGCCACUAUGAAGAAAUACCUGAGACUGGGUAAUUUAUAAACCAAAAGAUUUAAUUGACUCAGUUUCGCAUGGUUUGGGAGACCUCAGGAAACUUACAGUUGUGGUGGAAGGCACCUCUUUACAGGGUUGCAGGAGAGAGAAUGAGUGCCAAGCAAAGGGGGGAAAGCCCCUUGUAAAACCAUCAGAUCUCAUAAGAACUCACUAUCACAAGAACAGCAUGGGAGUAACCGCCCCCAUGAUUCCGUUGUCUCUCACCGGGUCCUUCCCAUGACAUGUGGGGAUUAUGGGAACUACAAUUUAAGAUGAGAUUUGGGUAGUGACACGGUCAAACCAUAUCAAAAGGUAACUUGAUCUUGAGCUAUGGGAUUGGGGCAGUGGCACGACUAGUGGAAGGAGUCUGGCCCAGCAGGUAGGGGCUGUGUCAUGGUGGGUCUUAGGCGCCUUGCUGAAGGGUAUGCACCUUAACUGAAGGGUUUUAAGUCAGGAAGCAGCAUGACUAGGUUUUCGAUAUAGAAAGAUCUCUCUAUGGUCUGAAUGUGCCCCCCAAAAUUGAUGUGUUGGAUACAAUCUCUAAUGCAUCAGUGUUGGAAGGUUGGG
Molecule: long non-coding RNA, 2213 nt
Filed under: Homo sapiens (human)
Lineage: Eukaryota; Metazoa; Chordata; Mammalia; Primates; Hominidae
Description: HSALNT0125909
Source: RNAcentral